GAUGAACGCUGGCGGCGUGCCUAAUACAUGCAAGUCGAGCGAACGGACGAGAAGCUUGCUUCUCUGAUGUUAGCGGCGGACGGGUGAGUAACACGUGGAUAACCUACCUAUAAGACUGGGAUAACUUCGGGAAACCGGAGCUAAUACCGGAUAAUAUUUUGAACCGCAUGGUUCAAAAGUGAAAGACGGUCUUGCUGUCACUUAUAGAUGGAUCCGCGCUGCAUUAGCUAGUUGGUAAGGUAACGGCUUACCAAGGCAACGAUGCAUAGCCGACCUGAAAGGGUGAUCGGCCACACUGGAACUGAGACGCGGUCCAGACUCCUACGGGUGGCAGCAGUAGGGAAUCUUCCGCAGUGGGCGAAAGCCUGACGGAGCAACCCGGCGUGAGUGAUGAAGAUCUUCGGAUCGUAAAACUCUGUUAUUCGGGAAGAACAUAUGUGUAAGUAACUGUGCACAUCUUGACGGUACCUAAUCAGAAAGCCACGGCUAACUACGUG
RNAcentral lists this ribosomal RNA (497 nucleotides) under uncultured bacterium. Its description in RNAcentral is "partial 16S ribosomal RNA". It matches the Rfam family "Bacterial small subunit ribosomal RNA", at positions 28 to 507 of the family's 1533-position model. The record is from RNAcentral.